RNAcentral lists this ribosomal RNA (303 nucleotides) under uncultured bacterium. RNAcentral describes it as "partial 16S ribosomal RNA". It matches the Rfam family "Bacterial small subunit ribosomal RNA", at positions 507 to 807 of the family's 1533-position model. The record is from RNAcentral.
AGCAGUAGCCGCGGGAAUACGUAGGGUGCAAGCGUUAAUCGGAAUUACUGGGCGUAAAGCGUGCGCAGGCGGUUAUAUAAGUCAGAUGUGAAAUCCCCGGGCUCAACCUGGGAACUGCAUUUGAGACUGUAUGGCUAGAGUGUGUCAGAGGGGGGUAGAAUUCCACGUGUAGCAGUGAAAUGCGUAGAUAUGUGGAGGAAUACCGAUGGCGAAGGCAGCCCCCUGGGAUAACACUGACGCUCAUGCACGAAAGCGUGGGGAGCAAACAGGAUUAGAGACCCCCGUAGUCCCUGUCUCUUAUAC